Molecule: ribosomal RNA, 253 nt
Filed under: uncultured bacterium
Lineage: Bacteria
Description: partial 16S ribosomal RNA
Rfam family: Bacterial small subunit ribosomal RNA
Source: RNAcentral
UACGUAGGGCCCGAGCAUUAUCCGGAAUUAUUGGGCGUAAAGAGCGUGUAGGUGUUCCAUCAAGUCGGUCGUUAAAUCUCAGAGCUCAACUCUGAGACCGCGAGCGAUACUGAUGGAAUUGAGGUUUGCAGGGGCUAGCAGAAUUUCCAGAGUAGGGGUGAAAUCCGUUGAUACUGGAAGGAAUACCAAUGGCGAAGGCAGCUAGCUGGGCAACACCUGACACUGAGACGCGAAAGCGUGGGGAGCGAACGGG